AUUAUCGUACUUAUGGCCCGCUCGCGCUUUCUUUGUUCCCGGCUCAUGACAAAGCCUCUGAUAAUAUCGCAUCGGAUCACAGUGCACGGAAGAAUUUGUUGAGGUAAUACGUGCUGUAGUUCAUCCGCAAUUCAACAGUGUUUACGUCGGAAGGAUCGUCGUGCAGUCGACGCCGGGACCUGACAUGAAGGAGCGUUUGCCGACUACGCCUAGAAAGGGAUGUCAAGAUUUCGUGAACCAGAGGCAUCUCUACACCGCAUAGGAACCUAAGACAUUUCUGCAGCCGGAACAGCAUGGCAAAGCAUCUGAUCUGCAUGCUGCGACAAGGUAUGGCUGGGCCUGGAGAUGAAGUGUAAGCAGACCAUGCUAUGCUGCUGAUUGGUACCAAUCUUCACAUCCGAGUUGUUCCCAUGACAGUCAAGCACCACUGUGAUUUGCUUCAUUGGCAAGGUGCCCUGCAAGCUCUCACCAAAGCAACACAUUCCCCUG
Long non-coding RNA from Dermacentor silvarum, 489 nucleotides. RefSeq lists it as uncharacterized. The record is from RefSeq and is a predicted model, not a curated record. The transcript has 4 exons. NCBI's taxonomy places the organism in Eukaryota, Metazoa, Arthropoda, Arachnida, Ixodida, Ixodidae.